AGAGGAAGGAGAAGUCGUAACAAGGUUUCCGUAGGUGAACCUGCGGAAGGAUCAUUGUCGUCGCCACGAAACACGACCGCGAACACGUAACGUAAAGCCUCCGGGGGGGCCUCCUCCCCGGACCCGCCGGCCCCGGCCCCUCUGGUCGGGUGCCGGAACACGGCGCGGACUGUCGCCAAGGAACACCGAUCUGCCCCGGGCACGCCGCACUCCGCGGCGCCGCCGAGGCCAAGCAAACAGUACGACUCUCGGCAACGGAUAUCUCGGCUCUCGCAUCGAUGAAGAACGUAGCGAAAUGCGAUACGUGGUGUGAAUUGCAGAAUCCCGUGAACCAUCGAGUCUUUGAACGCAAGUUGCGCCCGAGGGACCCUCCCGAGGGCACGCCUGCCUGGGCGUUAGAAGCCCAUCAACGCUCGGUCACCCGACCGCACGCGGACAGUGGCCCUCCGAGCCGUGUAGGCGCGGCGGGCCGAAGCGCGAGGCCGUCGACCGCGUCGGGGGCGGCAAGUGGUGGGCUACAGCGCAUGCCGACCCCGACCCGUGUCGACACCCGGCCCCUAACGACCCCACGACGAGGAGACUGUCGCCGCCGCGCGACGCCUUCGGACCGAUACCCCAGGUCAGGCGGGGCCACCCGCUGA
This 641-nucleotide ribosomal RNA is filed under the name Cyperus rotundus. RNAcentral's name for it is "eukaryotic LSU rRNA". The stretch from base 244 to 398 matches the Rfam family "5.8S ribosomal RNA". The record is from RNAcentral. Lineage: Eukaryota; Viridiplantae; Streptophyta; Magnoliopsida; Poales; Cyperaceae.